Molecule: ribosomal RNA, 262 nt
Filed under: uncultured bacterium
Lineage: Bacteria
Description: partial 16S ribosomal RNA
Rfam family: Bacterial small subunit ribosomal RNA
Source: RNAcentral
GUCCACGCCGUAAACGAUGAUAACUAGUUGUUCGGGCACUUGGUGCCUGAGUGACGCAGCUAACGCAUUAAGUUAUCCGCCUGUGGAGUACGGUCGCAAGAUUAAAACUCAAAGGAAUUGACGGGGGCUGCACAAGCGGUGUAGCAUGUGGUUUAAUUCGAAGCAACGCGAAGAACCUUACCAGCCUUUGACAUCCCGCGCUACCUGGAGAGAUUCAGGGUUCCUUUCGGGGACGCGGUGACAGGUGCUGCAUGGCUGUCGU